RNAcentral lists this long non-coding RNA (1184 nucleotides) under Homo sapiens (human). RNAcentral describes it as "growth arrest specific 5". The stretch from base 863 to 939 matches the Rfam family "Small nucleolar RNA SNORD81". Lineage: Eukaryota; Metazoa; Chordata; Mammalia; Primates; Hominidae. The record is from RNAcentral.
GUCUUUUCGAGGUAGGAGUCGACUCCUGUGAGGUAUGGUGCUGGGUGCAGAUGCAGUGUGGCUCUGGAUAGCACCUUAUGGACAGUUGUGUCCCCAAGGAAGGAUGAGAAUAGCUACUGAAGUCCUAAAGAGCAAGCCUAACUCAAGCCAUUGGCACACAGGCAUUAGACAGAAAGCUGGAAGUUGAAAUGGUGGAGUCCAACUUGCCUGGACCAGCUUAAUGGUUCUGCUCCUGGUAACGUUUUUAUCCAUGGAUGACUUGCUUGGGUAAGGACAUGAAGACAGUUCCUGUCAUACCUUUUAAAGGUACAUGUUUUAUUGAUGUUAACGUUAAUUGAUUGAGCUACUGUUAGUGAUGAUUUUAAAAUUAAAGCAGAUGGGAAUCUCUCUGAGAAAGAAAAUGGAGAUUAAUCUUAAACUGAAACAGUAGUUGGGAAAUCUUUUAGAAAUCCACCUAUUACUACCUAUUGGUAAAGGAGAUUAAAUUUCUACAGGUAUGGAGAGUCGGCUUGACUACACUGUGUGGAGCAAGUUUUAAAGAAGCAAAGGACUCAGAAUUCAUGAUUGAAGAAAUGCAGGCAGACCUGUUAUCCUAAACUAGGUGAGUCAGCUUUUGGUACAUGUGAUGAUUUUCAGUGUAACCAAUGAUGUAAUGAUUCUGCCAAAUGAAAUAUAAUGAUAUCACUGUAAAACCGUUCCAUUUUGAUUCUGAGGUUACUCUACUAACAAGCAUCACACAUUUGUAUUUUGCCCUGAUUAAUAUGUUGGCUUCGCUUUCAGGGUUUUUAAUGACCACAACAAGCAAGCAUGCAGCUUACUGCUUGAAAGGUGAGGAUUGGAAAUGUUGGGACUAUUAUAAUUGCAGAAUACAUGAUGAUCUCAAUCCAACUUGAACUCUCUCACUGAUUACUUGAUGACAAUAAAAUAUCUGAUAUUCUGCAUUCCCAUGUAGCAUUUUAAUUGAAGUCUGUAAAUGUGGCUAAAAGUCUUGUCUUAUUUUUUGAGACAGGGUCUUGCCUCACCCAAGCUAGAGUGCAGUGGCCUUUGAAGCUUACUACAGCCUCAAACUUCUGGGCUCAAGUGAUCCUCAGCCUCCCAGUGGUCUUUGUAGACUGCCUGAUGGAGUCUCAUGGCACAAGAAGAUUAAAACAGUGUCUCCAAUUUUAAUAAAUUUUUGCAAUCCA